Long non-coding RNA from Macrosteles quadrilineatus (aster leafhopper), 231 nucleotides. RefSeq lists it as uncharacterized. Lineage: Eukaryota; Metazoa; Arthropoda; Insecta; Hemiptera; Cicadellidae. The transcript has 4 exons. The record is from RefSeq and is a predicted model, not a curated record.
CCUAAAGAACCUGAAUCUGAACCCAAACUGAAGGUUAAGAACAAAAACAAACUUGUACUUGAUCUCUCUGUGGUGAAUAUCAAUGAGCAAGGAACAAGCAUUGACAGCAAAUUUGGAAUCAUUGAGAAAAAUGCAAAUAAGAGAGAAAACGAAGAUAGUGAUCACUUCAAUUUUUCAUGGGAUUUUACUGAUGAGCCGCCAAAAGAGGAAGAAACCAAACUGAGUGUUGAG